AGCAUAUCAAUAAGCGGAGGAAAAGAAACCAACAGGGAUUGCCCCAGUAACGGCGAGUGAAGCGGCAACAGCUCAAAUUUGAAAUCUGGCCCCAGGCCCGAGUUGUAAUUUGCAGAGGAUGCUUUUGGCGCGGUGCCUUCCGAGUUCCCUGGAACGGGACGCCAUAGAGGGUGAGAGCCCCGUACGGUUGGACACCAAGCCUUUGUAAAGCUCCUUCGACGAGUCGAGUAGUUUGGGAAUGCUGCUCUAAAUGGGAGGUACAUUUCUUCUAAAGCUAAAUAUUGGCCAGAGACCGAUAGCGCACAAGUAGAGUGAUCGAAAGAUGAAAAGCACUUUGAAAAGAGGGUUAAACAGCACGUGAAAUUGUUAAAAGGGAAGCGCUUGUGACCAGACUUGCGUCCGGUGAAUCACCCAGCUCUCGCGGCUGGGGCACUUCGCCGGCACAGGCCAGCAUCAGCUUGCCGUCGGGGACAAAAGCUUCAGGAACGUGGCUCCUCUCGGGGAGUGUUAUAGCCUGUUGCAUAAUACCCUUCGGCGGGCUGAGGUACGCGCUCCGCAAGGAUGCUGGCGUAAUGGUCAUCAGCGACCCG
RNAcentral lists this ribosomal RNA (590 nucleotides) under Colletotrichum nymphaeae. RNAcentral's name for it is "partial large subunit ribosomal RNA". It matches the Rfam family "Eukaryotic large subunit ribosomal RNA", at positions 37 to 651 of the family's 3401-position model. The record is from RNAcentral. Lineage: Eukaryota; Fungi; Ascomycota; Sordariomycetes; Glomerellales; Glomerellaceae.